Dreissena polymorpha is the source of this 243-nucleotide long non-coding RNA. RefSeq lists it as uncharacterized. The transcript has 3 exons. The record is from RefSeq and is a predicted model, not a curated record. NCBI's taxonomy places the organism in Eukaryota, Metazoa, Mollusca, Bivalvia, Myida, Dreissenidae.
CAGACACUAAUGAGAAUGAAGCACAAAAGAUGUUUUUGGGAAUAUUUGAUGUCCACAUUGAAAAUCUCAUCCCACCUUCGCCAAAAAGAGCAUCAAGACUGCUGGACCUUGAACACGUGAAGUUUUUAAUGGACUCUUUUCAAAGUGGAGUUUUUCAACAACUUACAAUCCUGGUAGGAAUGGUCCCUGACGAUUGUGACCCGUCGAUAUUAAAGAUGAAAGGUGCCGGACAGGUUGAGACCC